AGACGGAGGGAGCAAGCGUUGCUCGGAAUUACUGGGCGUAAAGGGCGUGUAGGCGGGACAGCAAGUCGGGUGUGAAAGCCCUGGGCUCAACCCAGGAAGUGCAUUCGAUACUACUGUUCUUGAGUAUGACAGAGGAAAGCGGAAUUCCCGGUGUAGCGGUGAAAUGCGUAGAUAUCGGGAAGAACACCAGUGGCGAAGGCGGCUUUCUGGGUCAUAACUGACGCUGAGACGCGAAAGCUAGGGGAGCGAACGGGAUUAGAUACCCCAGUAGUCC
This 274-nucleotide ribosomal RNA is filed under the name uncultured bacterium. RNAcentral's name for it is "partial 16S ribosomal RNA". It matches the Rfam family "Bacterial small subunit ribosomal RNA", at positions 523 to 796 of the family's 1533-position model. The record is from RNAcentral.